GCUGGGCAUAGUGGUGCAUGCCUGUAGUUCCCGCUACUCUGGGGGCUGAGGUGGGAGGAUCACUUGAGCCUGGGAGUUCAAGGCUGCAGUGAGCUAUGAUGGUGCCACUGUACUCCAGCCUGGGCAACACAGUGAGACCCUGUCUCAA
Molecule: non-coding RNA, 148 nt
Filed under: Chlorocebus sabaeus (green monkey)
Lineage: Eukaryota; Metazoa; Chordata; Mammalia; Primates; Cercopithecidae
Source: Rfam by way of RNAcentral